Molecule: ribosomal RNA, 1674 nt
Filed under: Triticum aestivum (bread wheat)
Lineage: Eukaryota; Viridiplantae; Streptophyta; Magnoliopsida; Poales; Poaceae
Description: partial small subunit ribosomal RNA
Source: RNAcentral
AUGAUGUGGUGGUACAGUACUAAGCAGGCUAGUUAUGAUGCUAAUUUAAUAAUGGGGGAGGUGCGGAGUGGGGUUCAGAUCUGGGGGGUACUGACCUCGCCGGAGCUUGCUCUUCCUGGAGCCGGUGACGGCGGGCGCCUUCCUGUCCGGGGCGGACACCGGCGUGGCCGGCUUCUUGUCGUCCUCCGGGAGCAGCACGGCGUCGAUGCCCUGCACCGAGAUCCUGCCGUCCGUGUAGAUGUCCGGGUCGAAGAGGUAGGCGGAGCCCUCGCCCUGCCCGAACUUGACGGAGCCGUCCGCCUCCCGCGCCACCACCUUGUGCGGCAGCCGCAGCGUGUCGUACCGCACCUUGCCGAACCGGCGGACGGCGUUGUACAUGCUCUCCUCCGUCUGGUACUCCGGGAUCAUGUGGUAGUACAGGAUGUUCUCCGGCGACCCGGGCUCGCUGAGCUGGUCCGUGGUCAGCCGCGCCAUGGCCUCGUCGUUGGGGGCCAGCACGGUGAGCACGUACCCCUCGGAGACGAGCCGGCCCAUCUCGGUGGCCAGCGAGGUGAGGUUGACGAGGAUGUCGGCGAGCUCGUUGUACCCGCCGUAGAGGACCAGGGUCUGGAUGAAGUCCUUGACCUGGCUGUGGCCGUCGAAGUGGUGCUUCCCGUUGCCCGGGCCGGGCGCGGGCGCGGGGGCGAUGGAGGGGCCGGGGGCCAUGGCGUCCCACACGGGGAGCACGGGGGGCGCGCCGGGGAGGACCGGCGGCGCGGGCUUCUUGAGGCGGUGCGUCCUGGGGUCGACCUCGGGCGCGCCGGUGGGGAGCACGGCCGAGAUCGCGGCGAGGCUGCGGCGGCGGUUGAAGUCCUCCUGCACGGAGCGGGGGACGAGGAGGCGCUCGAUGCCGUGGAUGACGCCGUCGGGCCUGAGCACGGCGUCGGGGCGCGUGACGGCGGCGUGGGCGACGCGCAUGGAUCCGUUGGCGCCGGCGGCGAGCUCGACGUCCUCGCCGGAGAGCGUGGGGUGGGAGGCCGCGGGCCAGGACCCCGCCGGGUGGCGCGCCGGGAGGACGUGGAAGAGGAGCAGCGUCUGGAGCGACUUGAGGUUGCGGGGCUCGAGCAGGAAGCGCUUGAACUCCGGGUCGAGGUCCCGCUCCAGCGCCUCGUUCCGGGGCGCGAAGAUGGUGACGUUGUGGCGGCCCACGGCGUCCUCCAGCGUCUGCAGCAGCAGCGCCUUCUCCACCAGCUCCGCCAGCUCCGUGUAGUGCGAGUCCAGCAGCGCCACCAGCACCGAGUUGGAGUUCACCCCCGCCCCGGACGCGUUCACGACGGCCGCCGCGGCCGCCACCACCACCCCGUCGCCACCGCCAGCGGCGGCCACGGCGGGCAAUGUGGGUUCCUCCGGCCGCGCCGUCUCAGCGGCGGCGGCGCCCGCGGCCAGCGCGAGCGCGAAGAGGAGCACGGCGCCGUACGCCGGCGCACCCAUGGCGGAGCGCCUCUGCUCUGCCACGCGGCCCGCUCUAGCUGCCCCUGCUGCUGCUGCUGCUGCUCGUCGGCGGCGGCGGAUUUCUUGGAUUUGCGGUGGUGGCUGGCUGCUGCUCCAGCUAGCAAGCUCCUGGGGAGGGGGGGAGAGGGGAGUAACUAUAUGGUGUUGGGUGGUGUGAGCUUUUCUUCCCCCUCUUUUGUUUAG